RNAcentral lists this transfer RNA (62 nucleotides) under Cavia porcellus (domestic guinea pig). It matches the Rfam family "tRNA". Rfam says of the family: Transfer RNA (tRNA) molecules are approximately 80 nucleotides in length. The record is from Rfam by way of RNAcentral. Lineage: Eukaryota; Metazoa; Chordata; Mammalia; Rodentia; Caviidae.
GGGGAUUUAGCUCAGCGGCAUAAGCGCCUGCCUUGCAAGCAGGCAGUCGUGAGCAAUCCCUG